GAACAUUCCAGGCUCUGUGAACUAAGUGACUGAAGCUGAUUGACACAGGUCAAGGGGACUUCAAGGAAGAAAGCCAGCCUUAGACUGACAUCAGAGAACCAAACUCCGGUGUCUAAGCUCAAGUAAUACAAGUAAUUGGGAAGACACUGGCUCAGAGCCUGUCUCUGGUGACCACUGAAUUGUCCAGCACCUGAGGUCCCUGGAGCCCACGGACUGAGCCCAUCUGGGCUAAAAGAGGUCCCAUACAUCCUUCUCAAAGGCCUAUAUAAAUGCCAAGCAGAGUUAUAGCAGGAGGUUAGAAUCCUGAGAACUGUUUGGAAUAAGGAAUCCAAAUAUUGUCUUCCAGCUUCACCUUGUCACGACAGUCCUCGCCAGGGACAGCUGAGCCUUGCGUGGAUGAAACAGUCCCAACGAACACUUUAAAAAGACAAAUGUUCCCGACAGCACUGGUUGAAUUCAAAACUCGGCAGAUCCAUGUUCUUAUCCUUAGACAAGAGAGGGGCCAUAACAAGAUGGAAUGACGGAACAGACGUGAGAGAUGAUGGUACAGUGACUCGGGUAACCCCAGAAAAGGGACAGCUCUUCUACAGCUCAGUGGGGACAGGGACAAAAAGAAACAAUUUCAUUUCAGUCCACCCAGAGGGUCUGCACUUCUCGGAGCCAGAAGGUGGAGAAGAGUAGGGAUGGAGGAAGUUCGAAGUUUUAGGAGUCUGCUCUUGGGUCCCUAGGCAUGAGGACAAGCUUUUCCUGUACUCAAUGCUCAUCUCUCAGUUGUGCCCACAUUGGUACACAUUACUUGCUUUCAACUGCUGCUGCUGCUGUUUCCUAAUUCAAUAAAGAUAUGGCUGGCUCAGCA
Molecule: long non-coding RNA, 856 nt
Filed under: Mus musculus (house mouse)
Lineage: Eukaryota; Metazoa; Chordata; Mammalia; Rodentia; Muridae
Description: predicted gene 29154
Source: RNAcentral